Candidatus Accumulibacter is the source of this 106-nucleotide non-coding RNA. Lineage: Bacteria; Pseudomonadati; Pseudomonadota; Betaproteobacteria. The record is from Rfam.
UUCGUCGUGAGGCGAGGUGCGGAGGAGGCCCAAUCCAAAGCUGCCGGGCGAUGAACAAAAACCGGAUACGAGGCGUGAUGCAUCCGGGCAUCGACGGCAUGACGGU